GCAGCCGCGCUUUGGGGCGUCGGCUCACGUGGGGCCGGCAACGCGUCUUCCAGGAUGUUCGCGCGCUAGUCGCCGCUGAGGGGCCGGCGAUGCGCGAGGAGUUCCGGCGAGGAAGGUCGGUCAGUGGACAUGGCCGAGGCCCGCGGUGUCCGCGUGUGGGAGCUGCAGGGCUGAGGAGAGGCCGCCCGCAACCCUCGGGAAUCGUAGACGAGGUCUCACUAUGUUGGCCAGGUUGGUCUCGAAUUCCUGGCCGCAAGCCGUUCUCCAGUCUGGGCCUCCCAAAGUGCUAGGAUUACAGGAACAGAAUUGCCAUUGGGCCCAGGGAGAGACUACACUUCUUGUCUGCUUUGUUGCUAGUGCGGCCUUGUGGCCAAGCACAGAACGUGUGCAGUGAUGAUGGUGCAACUUCUAGGUCGUCCCCAGCAUGGAAAAUGAGCCCUGGGCAUGGAAGAUGAGCCCUGGUCCUGCAGCGGUGCUCUUUCCUCUUCUCACAAGCUGGAAUGUGCAUGUGCUCCCACCCAGCUUUGACCAUGGGGCGAAAACAGUACUCUGCAGUCUGGCAGAGCAACAAGGUGGAAAGGGCCUGGGUCCUUGAGUGACGUCAUGAGCCCUCUCACUGUCCCGACUUUGGGACUGUUAUAUGAUAAGGACUUUCUGUGAGUCACUGUCUUUUAGAGUCUCUCUGUUUUAGCUGCCUGGACUUUAUCCUGAAUAAUAUGGCUGUUAUCAUGGGUAUAGUGUUACUAUGAGCCUCAUCUAAGUAAUUUCUACUCUGCCUUUGACCACUAAACUCAUGUUGGACAAGAGUCACUUAGCAUUAUUUUUUCCUCAAUGAAGAGGUUAAGAUGGAGGGAGCAGGAGAAAUUGAGGCCUGUGUUUUACCAGAAGGUGAAGGGCUGUCUUUGCCUUUCCUACAUUUAUGAAGGAUAAUUCUAGACAAAAACAUUAAGUUCAUAUCAAACCAUCUGCUUUGUGAAGCCAUGGGCUUUGCUAGAACUUUCUGUGACAUGACAUUUAUUAACCCGAGUCUACCUGGAAGUUAGAGCUGAGGAAGUUUUCCUAGAGUGGAAAAAGUCCAAUGCACUUGUAAAAGUCAGACCAAGCUCAGCUCAGAUUUCAGUUUUAUUAGAAGUAUGUCACCUUCCUGAGCCCUUAUUAUUUCCCCAUCUGUGAAAUGAGGACACCGUUCUCUCUUUCUAAGCAUUGCUGGGAAGACCACACACCACUGAGACAGAAGGUGGGGCUAGCGCAGUUCUGGGCAUUUUGU
This 1267-nucleotide long non-coding RNA is filed under the name Homo sapiens (human). Its description in RNAcentral is "non-protein coding NUP50-DT:43". The record is from RNAcentral. Lineage: Eukaryota; Metazoa; Chordata; Mammalia; Primates; Hominidae.